ACGAACGCUGGCGGCGUGCUUAACACAUGCAAGUCGAACGGUGAAGCGCCUUCCUUUUUGGUGGGUGUGGAUGAGUGGCGAACGGGUGAGUAACACGUGAGUAACCUGCCCCCUUCUUCUGGAUAACCGCAUGAAAGUGUGGCUAAUACGGGAUAUUCUGGGUCUGUCGCAUGAUGGGUCUGGGAAAGAUAUUGUUUCGGUGGGGGAUGGGCUCGCGGCCUAUCAGCUUGUUGGUGGGGUGAUGGCCUACCAAGGCGGUGACGGGUAGCCGGCCUGAGAGGGUGGGCGGUCACACUGGGACUGAGACACGGCCCAGACUCCUACGGGAGGCAGCAGUGGGGAAUAUUGCACAAUGGGCGCAAGCCUGAUGCAGCGACGCCGCGUGAGGGAUGGAGGCCUUCGGGUUGUGAACCUCUUUCGCCAGUGAAGCAGGCCUGCCUCGUUUGUGGGUGGGUUGACGGUAGCUGGAUAAGAAGCGCCGGCUAACUACGUG
This 493-nucleotide ribosomal RNA is filed under the name uncultured bacterium. RNAcentral describes it as "partial 16S ribosomal RNA". It matches the Rfam family "Bacterial small subunit ribosomal RNA", at positions 29 to 507 of the family's 1533-position model. The record is from RNAcentral.